RNAcentral lists this ribosomal RNA (253 nucleotides) under uncultured bacterium. Its description in RNAcentral is "partial 16S ribosomal RNA". It matches the Rfam family "Bacterial small subunit ribosomal RNA", at positions 524 to 776 of the family's 1533-position model. The record is from RNAcentral.
UACCGAGGGGGCAAGCGUUGUUCGGAAUUACUGGGCGUAAAGGGCGCGUAGGCGGCCUUCUUAGUCGAACGUGAAAUCCCCGGGCUCAACCCGGGAACUGCGUCCGAUACUGGAAGGCUCGAAUCCGGGAGAGGGAUGUGGAAUUCCAGGUGUAGCGGUGAAAUGCGUAGAUAUCUGGAGGAACACCGGUGGCGAAGGCGACAUCCUGGACCGGUAUUGACGCUGAGGCGCGAAAGCCAGGGGAGCAAACGGG